This 21-nucleotide unclassified non-coding RNA is filed under the name Chlamydomonas reinhardtii. RNAcentral describes it as "small RNA Cre_0219". The record is from RNAcentral. Lineage: Eukaryota; Viridiplantae; Chlorophyta; Chlorophyceae; Chlamydomonadales; Chlamydomonadaceae.
ACAUCGCUGGCACCGUGUUGG